Molecule: RNA transcript, 2862 nt
Organism: Phlebotomus papatasi
Lineage: Eukaryota; Metazoa; Arthropoda; Insecta; Diptera; Psychodidae
Gene: Pgant7
Gene name: N-acetylgalactosaminyltransferase 7
Exons: 3
Source: RefSeq, a predicted model, not a curated record
AGCUGGGCAGUGUAAAUGUCAAAUGUGACGGUCAACAAGUCGGCUGGCGGCUGUGCGUGAUUUUACUGUUGGUGCGAUUGUAAAGACACGUCUACAUUUUUGAAUAAAUUGCCAUCGGGGGUGGAAUUGUGUGGAUCCGGGUGUAGUGAUUGUGCGUGAGAGAUGCGUAUCACGAAUCUACGAAAGGGGCGCAUCGCUAGGAUAGCUGCUUGUGUUUUUAUUUUGGUGCCCCUUCUCUACCUCCUUCUGACAUGGUCUGACGGCCACAAGAGAGCCAAGGCAGUGCUCCAGAGUCGCUUUGGGGCCCUCACAAGGCCCAAGGAAGUUCCCCGGCUGAUUGAAGGAUGGGGUAACUUUGAGCCCAAGACCACGGUCAAGAGAACGGGUCCUGGGGAGAAUGGGGAAGCUUACAAUCUGCCAGAGAGUAUGCAGAAUGCAGCUUCAUCGUCAGAGAUGGAGUACGGAAUGAAUAUUGCGUGUUCAGAUGAGAUUUCUCUGGACAGAUCCAUCAAAGAUACGCGAUUGGAGGAGUGCAAACACUGGGAUUACCCUGUACAUCUGCCCAAAACCAGUGUUAUCCUGGUUUUUCACAAUGAAGGCUGGUCAGUUUUGCUGAGAACUGUCCAUUCGGUGAUCAAUCGAACACCUGAUCAUAUCCUCCAUGAGAUUCUAUUAGUGGAUGACUUCUCGGAUAAGCAGAAUCUCAAGGGAGAUCUGGAGACGUACAUAAGGCGGUUUAAUGGGAAAGUGAGGCUGAUUAGGAAUACUGAGCGAGAAGGAUUGAUCAGGACGAGGUCGAGGGGUGCUAAGGAGGCUACGGGAGAGGUAAUUGUCUUCCUGGAUGCUCACUGUGAGGUCAAUACAAAUUGGCUUCCGCCACUGUUGGCACCUAUUUAUCGGGAUCGGACGGUGAUGACAGUUCCUGUCAUUGACGGUAUUGACCAUAAGACUUUUGAGUACCGUCCGGUUUAUGCCGAUGGGCAUCACUAUCGGGGAAUUUUUGAAUGGGGAAUGCUGUAUAAAGAAAAUGAGGUGCCGAAGCGCGAACAAAAGUCCCGGAAGUACAAUAGUGAACCGUACAAGAGUCCAACGCAUGCCGGAGGGCUGUUUGCCAUCAACCGGGAGUAUUUUCUGGAGCUGGGAGCUUAUGAUCCGGGCCUCUUGGUUUGGGGCGGUGAGAACUUUGAGCUGAGCUUUAAGAUUUGGCAAUGUGGAGGGAGUAUUGAAUGGGUUCCGUGUUCGAGAGUUGGACAUGUCUACAGGGGCUUUAUGCCUUACAACUUUGGGAAGUUGGCCAGCAAGAAGAAGGGUCCACUGAUCACGAUAAACUACAAGAGAGUGAUUGAAACGUGGUUUGAUGACAAGUACAAGGAAUACUUCUAUACGAGAGAACCCUUGGCUCAGUUCCUGGACAUGGGAGACAUCAGUGAGCAGUUGGCGCUGAAGGAACGUCUGCAGUGCAAGAGCUUCCAGUGGUACAUGGACAAUGUGGCGUACGAUGUCUUUGACAAAUUCCCUCCACUCCCAGCCAAUACGCAUUGGGGCGAAUUGCGAUCUGUGGCCCAGGAUACGUGCCUGGAUGCCAUGGGCAGAUCCCCGCCGUCCAUCAUGGGCCUCCAACACUGCCAUGGCUACGGGAAUAAUCAACUGAUGCGACUGAAUGGGGCUGGGCAGUUGGGAACGGGAGAGAGAUGCGUCGAGGCGGAUAGGCAAGGCAUAAAAUUGGCCUACUGCAGAUUGGGAACAGUCGAUGGACCCUGGCAGUAUGACAGCAAAACUUCAACACUUCUCCACCGAGUGCACAAAAAGUGCAUGGCUCUGCAUCCGCAGACACUGCAACUCUCCCUGGCCGCCUGCGAUCCCAACAAUGCCUAUCAACAGUGGAAAUUCAAGCAGAUCCAGCCGAACUACUAAGAAACAGCCUUCCAAGCCCGGCUGACAAGACACAUUCCAGUAGGAGACACUCGUCGUAUUAGUUAGAACAAAUGAAUAAUCAAUAAUCUUGUAGCAAUGUACUUAAAAGGAAACUGUCGAAAAAAGAAAAAAUAAUCCCCAAAAGUGCCUUCAAAAACAAAAAAAUCCUUCGCAAAAAUGAAGAAAUUAAAAGUGAGACUGUGUUUCCUUAACAAAUCCGAAGGAAUUCUUCCCAAUAGUUGUGUGUGUGAUCUUAAAAAAAAUGUUUUUUAAGUCUUCUUUUUUGUACAUAAAUUUUUGUUAAAUGUCGUAUUUGUUAACCUCGUUCUUUUUUCUUCUUGUCUGAGAUAAAGUUAUAAAAUAAAUCCAAUGAUCAAUAUUCUUCUCAAAAAAAAAACAAAUAAUUAAAAUUAUUACUAGAGUGAUGGAAUUGAUAUUUCUUAAGAAGAAUCUUUGAAAAAGAAAAAAAAUUAAUGCAGUAUAUUUAAUCGUAUUAUUUUUAAUUUUUUUUAUUAUCUUUAUAGUGUUGAAGAUGGUGAAUUGCUUAUAAAGGGUUGCUUUUACAAUUCAGGGAAAAUAUUGUGUUUGUUUUUUUGACAAUUUUUCUUUGCGUGAUAAAAGACAGAGCGGUGCCUUUUAUCAUUGCAAUUCACCAUCUUCACACAUUUUCAUUUUAUUGUUGCGAUGAGAUUGGAGUUUAUUCUCUGGUGUUGAGAGAAAUCAUCCCAUCCUUCUGCUCCAUAUCAAAGAUUUCUGCGCCAGAGUGAAACUCUCAACGGAGACAAGACAUAUUGUAGAGCGUAUCUUUAUGAGUGGUAUACAAUAAAUUUUAAAUUAAAAUAUUAUAGACGUAACACAUUUCCAACUGACUAGAGAGUAGUUUACUUGAUAGAAAAAAAACGUACGAAAAGAGAUCAAAUAAAGAAUAGAGAAAAAUUAUAAAUUACA